RNAcentral lists this ribosomal RNA (893 nucleotides) under uncultured Actinobacteridae bacterium. Its description in RNAcentral is "bacterial SSU rRNA". It matches the Rfam family "Bacterial small subunit ribosomal RNA", at positions 8 to 916 of the family's 1533-position model. The record is from RNAcentral. Lineage: Bacteria; Bacillati; Actinomycetota; Actinomycetes.
AGAGUUUGAUCCUGGCUCAGGACGAACGCUGGCGGCGUGCUUAACACAUGCAAGUCGAACGGUAAGGCCCUUCGGGGUACACGAGUGGCGAACGGGUGAGUAACACGUGAGUAACCUGCCCUUGACUCUGGGAUAACAGUUGGAAACAGCUGCUAAUACCGGAUAUGAGCUUGUCACGCAUGUGACGGGUUGGAAAGUUUUUGCGGUCAAGGAUGGGCUCGCGGCCUAUCAGCUUGUUGGUGGGGUAGUGGCCUACCAAGGCGUCGACGGGUAGCCGGCCUGAGAGGGCGACCGGCCACACUGGGACUGAGAUACGGCCCAGACUCCUACGGGAGGCAGCAGUGGGGAAUAUUGCGCAAUGGGCGGAAGCCUGACGCAGCAACGCCGCGUGCGGGAUGACGGCCUUCGGGUUGUAAACCGCUUUCAGCAGGGACGAAGCGAAAGUGACGGUACCUGCAGAAGAAGCACCGGCCAACUACGUGCCAGCAGCCGCGGUGAUACGUAGGGUGCGAGCGUUGUCCGGAAUUAUUGGGCGUAAAGAGCUCGUAGGCGGUUGAUCGCGUCGGAAGUGAAAACUCAGGGCUUAACUCUGAGCCUGCUUCCGAUACGGGUUGACUAGAGGAAGUUAGGGGAGAACGGAAUUCCUGGUGGAGCGGUGGAAUGCGCAGAUAUCAGGAGGAACACCGAUGGCGAAGGCAGUUCUCUGGGACUUUCCUGACGCUGAGGAGCGAAAGCGUGGGGAGCAAACAGGCUUAGAUACCCUGGUAGUCCACGCCGUAAACGGUGGGUACUAGGUGUGGGGGACAUUCCACGUUCUCCGUGCCGUAGCUAACGCAUUAAGUACCCCGCCUGGGGAGUACGGCCGCAAGGCUAAAACUCAAAGGAAUUGACGG